UAUUAUUAUGUGCCAAAACCACUCCAAGCUUCUCUUGAAUGUCUGCAACUAGAUAGAAAGUAUGCAGAAAUUAUAAUGAACGUAUAUAUUUUUAAAUAAUUGCCCUUUUUUUCUGGCCUGCAAACAAAUCAAUCCUCAAAAAUCUGUGCGGCCACCCUUUGAAUUUCGAAAACGAGCCAAAACGUUUGCCCACCACAGAGGGAAGGAGGAGUAUUGUGGUCAAGUACAUCCAUACAGGAUUUACACUAGUGUUUUACCCAAUUUACCCUAGUGUUUUUACCCAAAAGGAUCAGACUUUUAUGUUUCCACCUACGCAGGCUGACACCCCUGUCGUCUGACUGGGUCAUGGCUUCGGUGGACCUUCUCUCACCUGGGGCCAAAGCCAGGCCACUGGUACUUUUAACCCUGCAUUUACAUAACAAUGGCCAACUGUGAACUUUAACAUCUCACAAAGCAACUGUUUUGAUUAUGCAGAGGUUGUUGAUUCUGCUCUUACAGUGUUGUUACAGUGUAACAACAGCAUCGUGUUGUAUUGAAAGACAGGGUGGAGGACCAAGCUAUUUACACCAUCUUUCUUACACCUGUUUAUUCAUUGUAAAUCCAUGAAGGGAAUGAAUGAGAGAACACUGUGGAGAAGGAGAGAGAAUUAGAUAUGUUGUAAUUCUCUAUUUGAUGGGCCUCAUUCUGUUAUGAGCCUCGUAGACUACAUGUUUACCAUCUAUGAUAUGAUGUCCACCAUAGUCUCUUGCUCUAACCAGCCUAGCCUUCUGAGAAGCCUGACUGCGUCUCACCUGUCUGUCACUUAUUCAUUACUUUCCCCCAUUUGAAUCAAAAAGAGUUGUAUUUCUGUUCUCUGAGAAGUUGUGUGAACGUAGCUAGGGAAGUGGGCUGGGGUAAGAAUGUCAUAGUUACUGUUGCUUAGGCCCAAUAGUUAUUUUAGGAUGUUUAAGGUCAGGGUUAAUAAUUCACUAGUUACACCUGUUGACUUGUUGGAGUUACAUUUCCCUUAUAUUCCAUGUGACCCAACCAGGAACAUCUCUGGGUCAUAGUUAUAGCCUGUCUGUUUUUCCUGGUCAGGGCAUGUGUUGCCUGGAAGGCUUACCUCUGCAAGGGUUCCAAUACAUAGCUUUCACCUGUCAAUUCAAUGUCAGUUCAGUGAGGUGAAGGAGGGGAGGAAGGAGGCCCAAUGUGUAACCCAGUUUAGACUGAGGUCUGAGGGGAGGAAAGAGGCCCGUUGUGUAACCCAGUUUAGACUGAGGUCUGAGGGGAGGAAGGAGGCCCGUUGUGUAACCCAGUUUAGACUGAGGUCUGAGGGGAGGAAGGAGGCCCGUUGUGUAACCCAGUUUAGACUGAGGUCUGAGGGGAGUAAAGAGGCCCGUUGUGUAACCCAGUUUAGACUGAGGUCUGAGGGGAGGAGGGUGGCCUGUUGUGUAACCCAGUUUAGACUGAGGUCUGAGGGGAAGGAGGCCCGUUGUGUAACCCAGUUUAGACUGAGGUCUGAGGGGAGGAAGGAAGGAGGCCCAUUGUGUAACCCUGUUUAGACUGAGGUCUGAGGGGAGGAGGGAGGCCUGUUGUGUAACCCAGUUUAGACUGAGGUCUGAGGGGAGGGAGGAAGGAGGCCCAUUGUGUAACCCUGUUUAGACUGAGGUCUGAGGGGAGGAGGGAGGCCUGUUGUGUAACCCAGUUUAGACUGAGGUCUGAGGGGAGGAAGGAGGCCCGUUGUGUAACCCAGUUUAGACUGAGGUCUGAGGGGAGGAAGGAGGCCCGUUGUGUAACCCAGUUUAGACUGAGGUCUGAGGGGAGGGAGGAAGGAGGCCCAUUGUGUAACCCUGUUUAGACUGAGGUCUGAGGGGAGGAGGGAGGCCUGUUGUGUAACCCAGUUUAGACUGAGGUCUGAGGGGAGGAGGGAGGCCUGUUGUGUAACCCAGUUUAGACUGAGGUCUGAGGGGAGGAGGGAGGCCUGUUGUGUAACCCAGUUUAGACUGAGGUCUGAGGGGAGGAAGGAGGCCCGUUGUGUAACCCAGUUUAGACUGAGGUCUGAGGGGAGGAAGGAGGCCUGUUGUGUAACCCAGUUUAGACUGAGGUCUGAGGGGAAGGAGGCCCGUUGUGUAACCCAGUUUAGACUGAGGUCUGAGGGGAGGAGGGAGGCCUGUUGUGUAACCCAGUUUAGACUGAGGUCUGAGGGGAGGAGGGUGGCCUGUUGUGUAACCCUGUUUAGACUGAGGUCUGAGGGGAGGAUGGAGGCCUGUUGUGUAACCCAGUUUAGACUGACGUCUGAGGGGAGGAGGGAGGCCCGUUGUGUAACCCAGUUUAGACUGAUGUCUGAGGGGAGGAGGGAGGCCUGUUGUGUAACCCAGUUUAGACUGAGGUCUGAGGGGAGGAGGGAGGCCUGUUGUGUAACCCAGUUUAGACUGAGGUCUGAGGGGAGGGAGGAAGGAGGCCCAUUGUGUAACCCUGUUUAGACUGAGGUCUGAGGGGAGGAAGGAGGCCCGUUGUGUAACCCAGUUUAGACUGAGGUCUGAGGGGAGGGAGGAAGGAGGCCCAUUGUGUAACCCUGUUUAGACUGAGGUCUGAGGGGAGGAGGGUGGCCUGUUGUGUAACCCAGUUUAGACUGAGGUCUGAGGGGAGGGAGG
Oncorhynchus tshawytscha (Chinook salmon) is the source of this 2633-nucleotide long non-coding RNA. RefSeq lists it as uncharacterized. The record is from RefSeq and is a predicted model, not a curated record. NCBI's taxonomy places the organism in Eukaryota, Metazoa, Chordata, Actinopteri, Salmoniformes, Salmonidae. The transcript has 3 exons.